RNAcentral lists this ribosomal RNA (233 nucleotides) under uncultured bacterium. Its description in RNAcentral is "partial 16S ribosomal RNA". It matches the Rfam family "Bacterial small subunit ribosomal RNA", at positions 118 to 351 of the family's 1533-position model. The record is from RNAcentral.
UGAGUAACCUGCCCUUAACUCUGGGAUAAGCCUGGGAAACUGGGUCUAAUACCGGAUAUGACUCCUCAUCGCAUGGUGGGGGUGGAAAGCUUUUUUGUGGUUUUGGAUGGACUCGCGGCCUAUCAGCUUGUUGGUGAGGUAAUGGCUCACCAGGGCGACGACGGGUAGCCGGCCUGAGAGGGUGACCGGCCACACUGGGACUGAGACACGGCCCAGACUCCUACGGGAGGCAG